UUAAGCGACUAAGCGUACACGGUGGAUGCCCUGGCAGUCAGAGGCGAUGAAGGACGUGCUAAUCUGCGAUAAGCGUCGGUAAGGUGAUAUGAACCGUUAUAACCGGCGAUUUCCGAAUGGGGAAACCCAGUGUGAUUCGUCACACUAUCAUUAACUGAAUCCAUAGGUUAAUGAGGCGAACCGGGGGAACUGAAACAUCUAAGUACCCCGAGGAAAAGAAAUCAACCGAGAUUCCCCCAGUAGCGGCGAGCGAACGGGGAGCAGCCCAGAGCCUGAAUCAGUGUGUGUGUUAGUGGAAGCGUCUGGAAAGGCGUGCGAUACAGGGUGACAGCCCCGUACACAAAAAUGCACAUGCUGUGAGCUCGAUGAGUAGGGCGGGACACGUGGUAUCCUGUCUGAAUAUGGGGGGACCAUCCUCCAAGGCUAAAUACUCCUGACUGACCGAUAGUGAACCAGUACCGUGAGGGAAAGGCGAAAAGAACCCCGGCGAGGGGAGUGAAAAAGAACCUGAAACCGUGUACGUACAAGCAGUGGGAGCACAGAGCAAUCUGUGUGACUGCGUACCUUUUGUAUAAUGGGUCAGCGACUUAUAUUCUGUAGCAAGGUUAACCGAAUAGGGGAGCCGAAGGGAAACCGAGUCUUAACUGGGCGUUAAGUUGCAGGGUAUAGACCCGAAACCCGGUGAUCUAGCCAUGGGCAGGUUGAAGGUUGGGUAACACUAACUGGAGGACCGAACCGACUAAUGUUGAAAAAUUAGCGGAUGACUUGUGGCUGGGGGUGAAAGGCCAAUCAAACCGGGAGAUAGCUGGUUCUCCCCGAAAGCUAUUUAGGUAGCGCCUCGUGAAUUCAUCUCCGGGGGUAGAGCACUGUUUCGGCAAGGGGGUCAUCCCGACUUACCAACCCGAUGCAAACUGCGAAUACCGGAGAAUGUUAUCACGGGAGACACACGGCGGGUGCUAACGUCCGUCGUGAAGAGGAAACAACCCAGACCGCCAGCUAAGGUCCCAAAGUCAUGGUUAAGUGGGAAACGAUGUGGGAAGGCCCAGACAGCCAGGAUGUUGGCUUAGAAGCAGCCAUCAUUUAAAGAAAGCGUAAUAGCUCACUGGUCGAGUCGGCCUGCGCGGAAGAUGUAACGGGGCUAAACCAUGCACCGAAGCUGCGGCAGCGACGCUUAUGCGUUGUUGGGUAGGGGAGCGUUCUGUAAGCCUGCGAAGGUGUGCUGUGAGGCAUGCUGGAGGUAUCAGAAGUGCGAAUGCUGACAUAAGUAACGAUAAAGCGGGUGAAAAGCCCGCUCGCCGGAAGACCAAGGGUUCCUGUCCAACGUUAAUCGGGGCAGGGUGAGUCGACCCCUAAGGCGAGGCCGAAAGGCGUAGUCGAUGGGAAACAGGUUAAUAUUCCUGUACUUGGUGUUACUGCGAAGGGGGACGGAGAAGGCUAUGUUGGCCGGGCGACGGUUGUCCCGGUUUAAGCGUGUAGGCUGGUUUUCCAGGCAAAUCCGGAAAACUAAGGCUGAGGCGUGAUGACGAGGCACUACGGUGCUGAAGCAACAAAUGCCCUGCUUCCAGGAAAAGCCUCUAAGCAUCAGGUAACAUCAAAUCGUACCCCAAACCGACACAGGUGGUCAGGUAGAGAAUACCAAGGCGCUUGAGAGAACUCGGGUGAAGGAACUAGGCAAAAUGGUGCCGUAACUUCGGGAGAAGGCACGCUGAUAUGUAGGUGAAGCGACUUGCUCGUGGAGCUGAAAUCAGUCGAAGAUACCAGCUGGCUGCAACUGUUUAUUAAAAACACAGCACUGUGCAAACACGAAAGUGGACGUAUACGGUGUGACGCCUGCCCGGUGCCGGAAGGUUAAUUGAUGGGGUCAGCGCAAGCGAAGCUCUUGAUCGAAGCCCCGGUAAACGGCGGCCGUAACUAUAACGGUCCUAAGGUAGCGAAAUUCCUUGUCGGGUAAGUUCCGACCUGCACGAAUGGCGUAAUGAUGGCCAGGCUGUCUCCACCCGAGACUCAGUGAAAUUGAACUCGCUGUGAAGAUGCAGUGUACCCGCGGCAAGACGGAAAGACCCCGUGAACCUUUACUAUAGCUUGACACUGAACAUUGAGCCUUGAUGUGUAGGAUAGGUGGGAGGCUUUGAAGUGUGGACGCCAGUCUGCAUGGAGCCGACCUUGAAAUACCACCCUUUAAUGUUUGAUGUUCUAACGUUGACCCGUGAUCCGGGUUGCGGACAGUGUCUGGUGGGUAGUUUGACUGGGGCGGUCUCCUCCUAAAGAGUAACGGAGGAGCACGAAGGUUGGCUAAUCCUGGUCGGACAUCAGGAGGUUAGUGCAAUGGCAUAAGCCAGCUUGACUGCGAGCGUGACGGCGCGAGCAGGUGCGAAAGCAGGUCAUAGUGAUCCGGUGGUUCUGAAUGGAAGGGCCAUCGCUCAACGGAUAAAAGGUACUCCGGGGAUAACAGGCUGAUACCGCCCAAGAGUUCAUAUCGACGGCGGUGUUUGGCACCUCGAUGUCGGCUCAUCACAUCCUGGGGCUGAAGUAGGUCCCAAGGGUAUGGCUGUUCGCCAUUUAAAGUGGUACGCGAGCUGGGUUUAGAACGUCGUGAGACAGUUCGGUCCCUAUCUGCCGUGGGCGCUGGAGAACUGAGGGGGGCUGCUCCUAGUACGAGAGGACCGGAGUGGACGCAUCACUGGUGUUCGGGUUGUCAUGCCAAUGGCACUGCCCGGUAGCUAAAUGCGGAAGAGAUAAGUGCUGAAAGCAUCUAAGCACGAAACUUGCCCCGAGAUGAGUUCUCCCUGACUCCUUGAGAGUCCUGAAGGAACGUUGAAGACGACGACGUUGAUAGGCCGGGUGUGUAAGCGCAGCGAUGCGUUGAGCUAACCGGUACUAAUGAACCGUGAGGCUUAACCU
This 2901-nucleotide ribosomal RNA is filed under the name Escherichia coli. RNAcentral describes it as "23S ribosomal RNA". It matches the Rfam family "Bacterial large subunit ribosomal RNA". Lineage: Bacteria; Pseudomonadati; Pseudomonadota; Gammaproteobacteria; Enterobacterales; Enterobacteriaceae. The record is from RNAcentral.